CUACGUGCCAGCAGCCGCGGUAAUACGGAGGAUGCGAGCGUUAUCCGGAUUUAUUGGGUUUAAAGGGUGCGUAGGCUGUCGGUUAAGUCAGCGGUGAAAUCAGCACGCUUAACGUGUUGUUUGCCGUUGAAACUGUCCGUCUUGAAUGCGCUCGUCGUGGGAGGAAUGUGUGGUGUAGCGGUGAAAUGCAUAGAUAUCACACAGAACACCGAUUGCGAAGGCAUCUCACGAGAGCGUUAUUGACGCUGAUGCACGAAAGCGCGGGUAUCGAACAGGAUUAGAUACCCUGGUAGUCCGCGCUGUAAACGAUGAUGACUAACUGUUGGUUCCAAUGGGAUCAGUGGUCAAGCGAAAGCGUUAAGUCAUCCACCUGGGGAGUACGGCCGCAAGGCUGAAACUCAAAGGAAUUGACGGGGGCCCGCACAAGCGGAGGAACAUGUGGUUUAAUUCGAUGAUACGCGAGGAACCUUACCCGGGCUCGAACGGCGGAUGAAUAUGUUAGAGAGAGCAGU
RNAcentral lists this ribosomal RNA (512 nucleotides) under uncultured bacterium. Its description in RNAcentral is "bacterial SSU rRNA". It matches the Rfam family "Bacterial small subunit ribosomal RNA", at positions 501 to 1013 of the family's 1533-position model. The record is from RNAcentral.